This 95-nucleotide small nucleolar RNA is filed under the name Nannospalax galili (Upper Galilee mountains blind mole rat). Its description in RNAcentral is "Small nucleolar RNA SNORA31 (ENSNGAG00000007131.1)". The record is from RNAcentral. Lineage: Eukaryota; Metazoa; Chordata; Mammalia; Rodentia; Spalacidae.
CUGCUUCUAAAGUUUCCAUUGCAGAUGCAAGAAGCAAGUUUCCUCGCGCUUUCUGUCUGAUUGUGGUAGCUAAGACUGAAUAGAGGAGCAGAGGA